GAAAAACGCCAAAGGCGAGUGUUGAAAUAAUAAAAGUCAAGUGUGUAAUUAAUGUUUUAUUUAGUGUUCCGUUCGUGUGGCAGCCACCGGCUGCAGCAAGCGGCAGCAGCCCAAUAAGCGGCCAACAAGUGCAACAACAGCCAACAACGAAAAGCUUCAAUAAAAUGAUAACCUGAGGCUUCGACUCUGCAUGUAAACAGUUUAAAUUGAAAAUUCAAAAGUAUAAAUAAAAAACUAGUAAA
This 242-nucleotide unclassified non-coding RNA is filed under the name Drosophila mojavensis. RNAcentral's name for it is "GI26113". The record is from RNAcentral. Lineage: Eukaryota; Metazoa; Arthropoda; Insecta; Diptera; Drosophilidae.